AUAGCCACUCCUAAAUAAAACAUAGAGUAGGAAUGGCAAAAAAAUUAAAUCUGACUCGCAUCCGUAAAGAUUUAAAAUAUCAGAAUCCACAAAAAUUAUAUAUGUAUAUAAAAAAAUACAUAUUCGGAGUCUAAUUUUUAAGAUUCAUGUGGAUUUGGCUAUAGAUCCAGAUGCACUGCCAUACGAAAAGUCGAGUAUCUAGAUCUGCAAAAUUUUUUAUUUAAAUUAUUUAUGAAUUUUCACUUUAAAAUAUAUAAGUGAAAUUGGAAAAAAAAAACUAAUAUAACCCUAAAACUAAAAACACACACUCAUAACUCACCACUCACCAGAAGCCGCAAUCGGAAACAACCCCAAAUCCUUAAUUGUCGAAUGCCGAAUGCCUCGCCUGAGCUAAAAUUGCGCUGUCGUCGAACUGAAUAUGAUGUUGAUAGGAAGAAUGGCUGCAAAAUCAUGUCUUUCCAAGAACUGUCACCGAGAGAAAGUGGGAAAAGAUUCCAUGAUCACAAUAAAGAGUGUAGAGGUUUGCUUAGUUGUGAUGUGAUUUAUAAUACUAGUAGAAGCUUUGACAAAAAUUGAACAUGGCUACGCAUAGCUUUUGCUACAGUAAGGGGUUCUUUUGUAG
Molecule: long non-coding RNA, 622 nt
Filed under: Citrus sinensis (sweet orange)
Lineage: Eukaryota; Viridiplantae; Streptophyta; Magnoliopsida; Sapindales; Rutaceae
Description: long non-coding RNA (CSIN_LNC005080)
Source: RNAcentral